Long non-coding RNA from Callithrix jacchus (white-tufted-ear marmoset), 375 nucleotides. RefSeq lists it as uncharacterized. Lineage: Eukaryota; Metazoa; Chordata; Mammalia; Primates; Cebidae. The record is from RefSeq and is a predicted model, not a curated record.
CAGCUGGAGACAGACCACCCCCCACCCCAGGAAGAGAUGUCAGCCAUUCCCUGGGCACAGGAGGGCUGUGCAGAGAAGAGGGAGCCCAGAUGCCCUCCUCCUCCUCCUCCAUUCACUUCAGACCCCAGGGCCAUGGGUGUGUGGUGGUGCAGGACUCAAGAGCCACUGAGAGGAGCAAGAGAGAAAAAGAGAAUGGAAAAGACUGAGCCAAUACAUCCCUGCCAAUGCCAGGCUCCUGAGAGGUGCUUCCUGGCCCAGAAUGACAAAGGAAGACAAUGUGGCUGAGGCAGGGAGACAGAAAAGCCCCUGACUAAAAAGCAGUGAUGGGAACAGGCAGUUAACGCUGGAAAGGUAAGUACCCAGAUACCUUACCUU